Molecule: ribosomal RNA, 761 nt
Filed under: uncultured Planctomycetia bacterium
Lineage: Bacteria; Pseudomonadati; Planctomycetota; Planctomycetia
Description: bacterial SSU rRNA
Rfam family: Bacterial small subunit ribosomal RNA
Source: RNAcentral
UCGCGGGAUCCCAGCAAUGGGGGAACCGGCGUAAGGGGCAGUAAUGCGUGGGUACCUACCCCGGGGUCCGGGAUAGCCGUCCGAGAGGGCGGGUAAUACUGGAUGAUCUCGGGAGAGCAAAGCUCCGGCGCCCUGGGAGGGGCCCACGUGAUAUUAGCUAGUUGGUGAGGUGACGGCUCACCAAGGCGGAGAUGUCUAGCGGGUGUGAGAGCACGACCCGCGCCACUCGCACUGAGACACUGGCGAGACACCUACGGGUGGCUGCAGUCGAGGAUCUUCGGCAAUGUGCGCAAGCACGACCGAGCGACGCCGCGUGGGCGAUGAAGGCCUUCGGGUUGUAAAGCCCUGUCGAGGGGGAGAAAAGCGGGAAACCGUGUGAUCUAUCCCUGGAGGAAGCUCGGGCUAAGUUCGUGCCAGCAGCCGCGGUAAGACGAACCGAGCGAACGUUGUUCGGAAUCACUGGGCUUAAAGGGUGCGUAGGCGGGCUGCCAAGUUUGGGGUGAAAUCCUCCGGCUCAACCGGGGAAGUGCCUUGAAUACUGGCGGUCUCGAGGGGGGUAGGGGCGUGCGGAACUAACGGUGGAGCGGUGAAAUGCGUUGAUAUCGUUAGGAACUCCGGUGGCGAAGGCGGCACGCUGGACCUCAUCUGACGCUGAGGCACGAAAGCCAGGGGAGCGAACGGGAUUAGAUACCCCGGUAGUCCUGGCCCUAAACGUUGAGAACUAGGUAGUAGGCCGGACAUGGGCUUACUGCCGGAGCAAA